UACGGGGGGAGCGAGCGUUGUUCGGAAUGACUGGGCGUAAAGGGCGCGUAGGCGGAUUGUUAAGUUUGGUGUGAGAUACCUGGGCUCAACCUGGGAACUGCAUUGAAAACUGGCAGUCUAAGAGAAUUGUAUGGGGUGAUGGAAUUAUGCAUGGAGAGGUGGAACUCAUAGAUAUGCAUAGGAACACCGGAGGCGAAGGCGAUCAUCUGGGCAAUUUCUGACGCUGAGGCGCGAAAGCGUGGGUAGCAAA
This 250-nucleotide ribosomal RNA is filed under the name uncultured prokaryote. RNAcentral's name for it is "partial 16S ribosomal RNA". It matches the Rfam family "Bacterial small subunit ribosomal RNA", at positions 524 to 772 of the family's 1533-position model. The record is from RNAcentral.